RNAcentral lists this small nuclear RNA (103 nucleotides) under Peromyscus maniculatus bairdii (prairie deer mouse). Lineage: Eukaryota; Metazoa; Chordata; Mammalia; Rodentia; Cricetidae. The record is from RNAcentral.
GUGCUGGUGUCAGCAGUAUUUGCAAUAAAAUUGGAAGGAUACAGAGGUCAGCAUGACACCUGUGUAAGGAGGGUGCUCAAAGCGUGAGGCAUUUGAUCCUUUU